AUGGUGUGCGUCGAAACUCGAAAUUGAUCGUUAAAAUAUUCCAUUACUUUCAUUCUUAGACUUCAGUAGAUCACGGAAAACAUUCCAAAGCUCGGAUGAAACGAGGACGAGAGUGCAUGAGAGUUGGCAGUCACGCGACCUUGGUUAGCUGUUCUUAAUGCUUUCCCAACACUAUCAUGUAUUCUAUUUAAGUUAAAACAUAGUUGAAACACUGAUCAAACCUUUAUUUUGUUAAUCUAGAGCUUGAAAUGUCCC
This is a non-coding RNA of Paramuricea clavata, 255 nucleotides long. The record is from the annotation of a GenBank genome assembly. NCBI's taxonomy places the organism in Eukaryota, Metazoa, Cnidaria, Anthozoa, Malacalcyonacea, Plexauridae.